AUACGUAGGGAGCGAGCGUUGUCCGGAAUUACUGGGUGUAAAGGGAGCGUAGGCGGGAGUGCAAGUCAGAUGUGAAAUACAUGGGCUCAACCCAUGGGCUGCAUUUGAAACUGCAUUUCUUGAGUGAAGUAGAGGGAAGCGGAAUUCCUGGUGUAGCGGUGAAAUGCGUAGAUAUCAGGAGGAACACCGGUGGCGAAGGCGGCUUACUGGGCUUUUACUGACGCUGAGGCUCGAAAGCGUGGGGAGCAAACAGGAUUAGAUACCCUGGUAGUCCACGCUGUAAACGAUGAUUACUAGGUGUGGGGGGACUGACCCCUUCCGUGCCGCAGUUAACACAAUAAGUAAUCCACCUGGGGAGUACGGCCGCAAGGUUGAAACUCAAAUGAAUUGACGGGG
This 396-nucleotide ribosomal RNA is filed under the name uncultured bacterium. RNAcentral's name for it is "partial 16S ribosomal RNA". It matches the Rfam family "Bacterial small subunit ribosomal RNA", at positions 523 to 918 of the family's 1533-position model. The record is from RNAcentral.